AGCGAACGCUGGCGGCAUGCCUAACACAUGCAAGUCGCACGGGGGGUCCUCGUCCUCCCAGUCGCGGACGCGUGAGGCACGCGUAGGGACCCGUCGAGGGGUGGUGACUAACCGCGGGAAACUCCGGCUCCUACCGCAUGACGCCGCCGCGUGACUGCCGGCGCCUAAGGGGAAAGCCGCCCGCGGAGGGGCCUGCGUCCGAUUAGCUGGUUGGAGGGGUAGCGGCCCACCAAGGCGACGAUCGUUAGCUGGUCUGAGAGGGUGAUCAGCCACACCGGGACUGAGACACGGCCCAGACUCCUACGGGAGGCAGCAGUGGGGAAUAUUGGACAAUGGGCGCAAGCCUGAUCCAGCAAUGCCGCGUGGGUGAAGAAGGUCUUCGGGUUGUAAAGCCCUUUCGGCGGGGACGAUGGUGACGGUACCCGCAGAAGAAGCCCCGGCUAACUUCGUG
RNAcentral lists this ribosomal RNA (451 nucleotides) under uncultured bacterium. Its description in RNAcentral is "partial 16S ribosomal RNA". It matches the Rfam family "Bacterial small subunit ribosomal RNA", at positions 28 to 507 of the family's 1533-position model. The record is from RNAcentral.